AGUCAAGAGUACGUGAAACCGUUCGGGGGUAAACCUGAGAAACCCGAAAGGUCGAAGGCCGAGAUACAGCGUCCGUCGUCGCGGGUGCUGCGGCGACGGCGUGCACUUCUCGGCCGGCAGGACGUCGCGACCCGUUGGGAGUCGCCGACGCUUUACGGGAGCGCGCGGGAAGCUCGGGACGGCGCGGCGAGAUCUCGGUCUCGCCCGCGGCCGCUCGAACCCGUCGCGUUCUCCUCGCGCUCGGCGCGCCCGACGUGACAUUCAAACACAGAACGAGGCGUUCGUUCGGCGGUGCGCACGACCGGCGCGCUCGGACGCCGCCUUCGACCCCCGACCUUCGGGUCGCGGGGUAGGGACGGCGUUCUCGGGCGUGUGCGCGCGUUCGCGCGCGCUCACACCGACGUCCGAUCGUCAGCGACGCUUUUGCUUUGGGCGUUUUCAGGACCCGUCUUGAAACACGGACCAAGGAGUCCAACGUGCGCGCGAGUCAAUGGGAGCACAAGCUAAACCCAAAGGCGAAGCGAAAGCGAAGGACGGAGAGCUCGUCUUCGGGCGAGCCCUUCCGGCCCGUAGGGAGGAUGGGCGUCGCACAGUAGUCGCCCCGCACUCCCGGGGCGUCUCCGCCAGGCAUCGUCGUCGACGCUCGCGUUUUCGACGGUGCCGGAGGCGCACCUCUAGCGCGCACGCUGGGACCCGAAAGUGGGG
Molecule: ribosomal RNA, 705 nt
Filed under: Pyrogaster sp. CO1062
Lineage: Eukaryota; Metazoa; Arthropoda; Insecta; Coleoptera; Lampyridae
Description: partial 28S ribosomal RNA
Rfam family: Eukaryotic large subunit ribosomal RNA (bases 462-705)
Source: RNAcentral